AUGAGCUCAUCGUACCAUCCGCAGACAGACGGGCAGAUGGAACGGGUGAAUCAAUGUCUGGAGACCUACCUACGUUGUGCUGUUCAUGCAUGCCCGGCCAACUGGGCGAAAUGGCUAGCGCUCGCAGAGUUCUGGUACAAUACCUCAUUCCACUCAUCGCUGGGCAGAACUCCAUUCGAGGUCAUCCAUGGUCACCUGCCUCGCGAGUUUGGAGUGUCACAGGUCGACAACUGCUCUGUUCCGGACCUGGCAGCAUGGCUACGGGAGAGCUAG
RNAcentral lists this ribosomal RNA (273 nucleotides) under Triticum aestivum (bread wheat). RNAcentral's name for it is "partial small subunit ribosomal RNA". Lineage: Eukaryota; Viridiplantae; Streptophyta; Magnoliopsida; Poales; Poaceae. The record is from RNAcentral.